Molecule: transfer RNA, 77 nt
Filed under: Saprospirales bacterium
Lineage: Bacteria; Pseudomonadati; Bacteroidota; Saprospiria; Saprospirales
Description: tRNA-Arg
Rfam family: tRNA
About the family: Transfer RNA (tRNA) molecules are approximately 80 nucleotides in length. Their secondary structure includes four short double-helical elements and three loops (D, anti-codon, and T loops).
Source: RNAcentral
GGCUCCGUAGCUCAACUGGAUAGAGCACCAGAUUUCGGCUCUGGGGGUUGAGGGUUCAAAUCCUUCCGGAGUCACUA